This 465-nucleotide ribosomal RNA is filed under the name uncultured bacterium. Its description in RNAcentral is "partial 16S ribosomal RNA". It matches the Rfam family "Bacterial small subunit ribosomal RNA", at positions 28 to 507 of the family's 1533-position model. The record is from RNAcentral.
GACGAACGCUGGCGGCGUGCUUAACACAUGCAAGUCGAACGGUGAACUCCGCUUGCGGGGGGAUCAGUGGCGAACGGGUGAGUAACACGUGGGCAACCUGCCCUCAGCUCUGGGAUAACUCCAAGAAAUUGGGGCUAAUACCGGAUAUGACCGCUGACCGCAUGGUCUGGUGGUGGAAAGAUUUAUCGGCUGGGGAUGGGCCCGCGGCCUAUCAGCUUGUUGGUGGGGUAGUGGCCUACCAAGGCGACGACGGGUAGCCGGCCUGAGAGGGUGACCGGCCACACUGGGACUGAGACACGGCCCAGACUCCUACGGGAGGCAGCAGUGGGGAAUAUUGCGCAAUGGGCGAAAGCCUGACGCAGCGACGCCGCGUGGGGGAUGACGGCCUUCGGGUUGUAAACCUCUUUCAGCAGGGACGAAGCGAAAGUGACGGUACCUGCAGAAGAAGCACCGGCCUACUACGUG